CGGUAAUUCCAGCUCCAAUAGCGUAUAUUAAAGUUGUUGCAGUUAAAAAGCUCGUAGUUGAAUUUCGGGGUUAGUAGGUUGGUCAUGCCUCUGGUAUGUACUGGUCUCACUGAUUCCUCCUUCCUGAUGAACCGUAAUGCCAUUAAUUUGGUGUUGCGGGGAAUUUGGACUGUUACUUUGAAAAAAUUAGAGUGUUUAAAGCAAGCUAACGCUUGAAUACAUUAGCAUGGAAUAAUGAAAUAGGACGUUCGAUCCUAUUUUGUUGGUUUCUAGGAUUGACGUAAUGAUUAAUAGGGAUAGUUGGGGGCAUUAGUAUUCAAUUGUCAGAGGUGAAAUUCUUGGAUUUAUUGAAGACUAACUACUGCGAAAGCAUUUGCCAAGGAUGUUUUCAUUAAUCAAGAACGAAAGUUAGGGGAUCGAAGACGAUCAGAUACCGUACGUAGUCUUAACCAUAAA
RNAcentral lists this ribosomal RNA (456 nucleotides) under uncultured Glomus. RNAcentral's name for it is "SSU rRNA". It matches the Rfam family "Eukaryotic small subunit ribosomal RNA", at positions 577 to 1036 of the family's 1831-position model. Lineage: Eukaryota; Fungi; Glomeromycota; Glomeromycetes; Glomerales; Glomeraceae. The record is from RNAcentral.